GAUGAAGAACGUAGCGAAAUGCAAUAAGUAGUGUGAAUUGCAGAAUUCAGUGAAUCAUCGAAUCUUUGAACGCACAUUGCGCCCCUUGGUAUUCCAUGGGGCAUGCCUGUUCGAGCGUCAUCUACACCCUCAAGCUCUGCUUGGUGUUGGGCGUCUGUCCCGCCUUUGCGCGUGGACUCGCCCCAAAUUCAUUGGCAGCGGUCCUUGCCUCCUCUCGCGCAGCACAUUUGCGCUUCUCGAGGUGCGCGGGCCGCGUCCACGAAGCAACUAUUACCGUCUUUGACCUCGGAUCAGGUAGGGAUACCCGCUGAACUUAAGCAUAUAAUAAGCGGAGGA
Molecule: unclassified non-coding RNA, 336 nt
Filed under: soil metagenome
Description: partial contains 5.8S ribosomal RNA, internal transcribed spacer 2, and large subunit ribosomal RNA
Rfam family: 5.8S ribosomal RNA (bases 1-120)
Source: RNAcentral